RNAcentral lists this ribosomal RNA (448 nucleotides) under uncultured prokaryote. RNAcentral describes it as "bacterial SSU rRNA". It matches the Rfam family "Bacterial small subunit ribosomal RNA", at positions 355 to 796 of the family's 1533-position model. The record is from RNAcentral.
UGGGGAAUAUUGGGCAAUGGGCGCAAGCCUGACCCAGCCACGCCGCGUGAGUGAUGAAGGCCCUCGGGUCGUAAAGCUCUGUUGAGAGGGACGAACGAGCUGUAGGAAACACCUGCAGAAAUGACGGUACCUCUUUAGCAAGCACCGGCUAACCAUGUGCCAGCAGCCGCGGUAAUACAUGGGGUGCAAACGUUGCUCGGAAUUAUUGGGCGUAAAGCGCGCGUAGGCGGUGUCGCAAGUCGAAUGUGAAAGCCCUUGGCUCAACCAAGGAAGUGCAUCCGAAACUGUGACGCUAGAGUACGAAAGAGGGCUGCGGAAUUCCCGGUGUAGAGGUGAAAUUCGUAGAUAUCGGGAGGAACACCAGUGGCGAAGGCGGCGGUCUGGUUCGAUACUGACGCUGAGGCGCGAAAGCGUGGGGAGCAAACAGGAUUAGAUACCCCCGUAGUCC